UUUUUAUUCCCUAGUUCUCUAUUUUUAUAUUUUUCCCCAUAGACUCAUGGAUUAUAGGUAGUAGGUCCAUUAGUCUACAUCAUGACUCCGUGCGGACAUCCGAUCUCACCGUCCACGUCGUACGUCAUCCGAUCUCGCCGUCCGUCUCGAGUGGAGUUCUGUCAUCACGGAGUCGCGGUUCCGUCAUCGCGGUUGGAGUUCCGUCCACGAGUGGAGGUAAAUCGUGGUUCAGAUUCCGCGAUGAAUUGAUCCAUGGUUCAGGUCGCAAUUCCACGAUGAAUCCGUGGAAUCACGAGGUAGUCGCGGAACAGUAAUGUCGUUCUGCGCGUCCACACUCAAUUUCAGGUGUGGAAACUUGAGUGUAUUUUAAUAUUACUUUAAAUUACUUGAGUAUUGAUUAAAUUAUGUAAAACUAAGAAGUAAAAAUCAUGAAAUAAUUGACAACUUUUGGUAAAUGACGAUUGAUUAAAGUCAAUAAUGGUG
Molecule: long non-coding RNA, 483 nt
Filed under: Zostera marina
Lineage: Eukaryota; Viridiplantae; Streptophyta; Magnoliopsida; Alismatales; Zosteraceae
Description: long non-coding RNA (ZMAR_LNC003666)
Source: RNAcentral